AUUGAACGCUGGCGGCAGGCCUAACACAUGCAAGUCGAGCGGAUGAAGGGAGCUUGCUCCUGGAUUCAGCGGCGGACGGGCGAGUAAUGCCUAGGAAUCUGCCUGGUAGUGGGGGAUAACGUCCGGAAACGGGCGCUAAUACCGCAUACGUCCUGAGGGAGAAAGUGGGGGAUCUUCGGACCUCACGCUAUCAGCUGAGCCUAGGUCGGAUUAGCUAGUUGGUGGGGUAAAGGCCUACCAAGGCGACGAUCCGUAACUGGUCUGAGAGGAUGAUCAGUCACACUGGAACUGAGACACGGUCCAGACUCCUACGGGAGGCAGCAGUGGGGAAUAUUGGGCAAAAGGCGAAAGCCUGAUCCAGCCAUGCCGCGUGUGUGAAGAAGGUCUUCGGAUUGUAAAGCACUUUAAGUUGGGAGGAAGGUCAGUGAGUGAAUACCUUGCUGUCUUGACGUUACCAACAGAGUAAGCCACGGCUAACUUCGUG
RNAcentral lists this ribosomal RNA (484 nucleotides) under uncultured bacterium. RNAcentral describes it as "partial 16S ribosomal RNA". It matches the Rfam family "Bacterial small subunit ribosomal RNA", at positions 30 to 507 of the family's 1533-position model. The record is from RNAcentral.